CUACACGCCACAACACUCACAGUCUAACCAUAUUUAUCAUAAUACUGACUGUGAUACUGACUGUAGGAUCAGUGGAAAGCCUUUAGAACAAAAUGUCACAAUAAUACUAGUAACAUUGCAGAAACGUGCAGAAACAGGGACUGCUGUCCAUAAACGUGUCCUGUUGCAUUUAUGUUAUUGUUUGUUUUUUUGUACUUGGAUUUUUAAAAGUGAGAUUCGUACUGCAAGUAAAAUCAUAUCCAUUGCAGGGUAUAAAUGUUGUCUUACAUUACAAAAACUAUAUGGCAAUCACUUUUCCUAGUGUACGAUAUAGAAAGUAGUUUAUACAUAUCCAUUGAUCACUUUACUCUAUAUGAAAAAUGUCUUGUAUUGCACUGCAUUAUGGUCUACUGAGUCUAUCAAGAAAUUGGCAUCAUAAUGUUGAACAAAAGGUUGGGACUGGAGAGAAGCCCCGCUUUUUGAGUCUGAGGGACUGACAACAGAUCUGACAUUAACAAUGUGUAGGGUGGGUUCAGCAAAAGUGGCAGAAGCAUUAAGCAUAAGCAUUGCCCUGUUUUACCAUUUGACUUAGAAUAGAACAGAAAAUCUUGCCACACCAUUAUUUGUCACUUAACAGUCACUUUUAUUUCAUCAUUGUGGGCAUGGUUGAAAGUCAAAGAGAGACUGGUUGGCAUGUAUUCAGGGAAAGUGAACCAGCAAAUGAAUUGGAAUUGGACUCAUCAGCAUAAACGUUAGAACACUGUCCCAUGUUUGCUGAAGGUAUUAGCAAACAGUGUUUUCAAGUAAAGUGGGACACUUUUCUAAGCAUGUUUAAUGCAGCAGCAGAUAUGUUGUCUUGCUAUAAAAGAGUAUAAAAGUGUCCCGCUUUAGCAAACUAGAAAAACCGGAUGAGGAUUGUGCUGGGUUUUAGAGUCUAUAACUUUUACACAAUGUUCUCUUCAAAACGUUACACAAGCAUGUUAACAAAGGUUGUACCAUUUACGGAAAACAUGACUGGUGUAAGUGAAUAUCUGUUAUAGUAGAGCCCCAGCGCAUUUGCCAAAAAGUGGCCCUCUUUUGCUGAACUCAACCUAUAGUCAAAUAUUCAUGCUAUAGUCAAUAUUUUAAUCUUUACUUUUGUCUACAUUUGGUCAGUUUUCCGCAUGAAUAAGAAAAAAAUCACUGCCAAACAUCACAAACAAGAAAGGCAAGGUACAUUGCUAAUGUAUCUUCUGUUAGCUAUUUCAGGUAGGCGCCUCAGGUGCGGUGCUACACUCUCACGUGACAUUCUUCACCUACUGCAACACGAACGAACACACCCUCUCAGUGAGGCGGUCCAUUUAAACUGGCAAUGCCCUGCACACUGUUUUGGUCUGCAAAGCUGUUCUUCAGCUAACUCUUCUGUAGCAUUUCUGUAAACAUUUGCUGCUACCGCGGCUCAUUAGGCAUUUCACAGCCAAGCUCGCCUGUUACCGGUCCUAAUGUCGCUUCAGAAUGACUGUGGAGGAAAUGUGUGUUUGGCGCUAUCAGCUGUUGCUCCUGGUGUUCCCUGACUCCCAGACCAUCAGCUGUUCCCUGACUCCCAGACCAUCAGCUGUUCCCUGACUCCCAGACUAUCAGCUGUGGCCUGAAUGCGCACUUCAAGCCCGAAGCUGUCCUGCUGUGUUGUGGGCAGCCUGGAAACACUUGUUGCAACUUUUCCCUGAGAAACUUGGCCAAUGGGGCUGCUUCAUGCACAAAAACAUGGCUGAGUUUUGUGGGGAAGUAUAACUGAGGUUGGCGCAGUGUUGACACCUCCAGCUGUCUCCAGGGUUGGAAUAAAGAUCUGACACCCGCAGCGGUCCAGCGUAGACACCAGCUGGGCCUGGAGCCAGAGAAAAUGUCUUUCACCUCCUCUAUCAACACCGCCAUUCUCUCUCCUUCACAACUACAGGGGCGAAGUUAAUCCACAUGAAUCUUUCUCGUCAAGAUCAACCUUGGACUUUGGCACGAGAAUUUCGACCGUCAACUAAUAGCAAACCAUAUGGACAACCAUCUACUUGCAUAUUGAUUAUAAUCAAUUUAGUCAGUUUAUAAUGAAGUAUAAACUGCCUCCCAAAAGUGGAAUGGUUAUGUAUCACUUAUGAGAUGGGAGACUUGAAUAAACUGUGUGAACUUAUUAAACCACUAACGACCAAGUUAGCUAGGUCAAAGAGCUGUUUUUACUGACUCACUCAACGUGUUCCUGACUGACUAUGUUAGCUGUUAACUUGUUGGCAACAGUAGUUUGACAACUAGCCCUGUGUGUAGUCCCUACAUCACCAAACUUCUAGCACCGACACAUCGACGCACAAAUGAACUUCAGUUUGCCACUUUCUGAUGUGACCAGGGGUUAAAACUUAUAUUUACAGUUUGUCAGUAUCAGCCUGCUUUUAUGGGAAACCAUCUGCAUUGGCAAAUGUUACGGCAAUACAAUACAAUGGACUAUUUCUUGCUUAAGUUUAUAUGUGAAAUGUAUACACCACUUGGACAGAGGUUUGGAUUCUAAAAUGGAUAAAAGCAUACAUUCUCAAACCAUCCUUUAACAUUCAGUUCUAUGUAGGAUGAGAUCCUGCUCCAACUUAUAGUACAGACCAUGAGUUUAAUACUUCUAAACAUUUCAGAAAUUGCACGAGUUGCACUUUGAAGACAGCAUGGGAUGGCUACACCAUUAUUUAAACUUAAUAUGUCAGUCAUUUCAGCCAUGAGUAGUUCUGUGGGAUACGUUCUGUAACCACAAGAUAUGAGCCUAUGCCAGUGCAUAUUUAUGUUCCAGCUUAGAAAUUGCCUCACUGUGUUCAGCAGAUCUGAAACAUCCAAGAAUAUUACUGUAGGCAUUGUGCACAUACUUAGGGUGAAAAGACUUAGAGUAAAUGAUAUGCUCAUGUAGCACAGAACAAUAACCAAUAAAACAUUUAUUUUGGAGAGUACCAGUCAUGUAUUAUAGAGAAAUUAACCAAUUUCAGAUUGAUACCAGUCAAAACUCUAUGGUUUCAACUGAGUUAUAUUAGUUAUAUAUCAUCAUAGGCUGAAGAUUCAGUUUAUGAAAAGAGUUGUUCAAUUAAAUGCUUAAAUUCAAGCUAAAUAAACAGAGCCACAUCCUUAUAUAUUUUUAUGCACAAAAACUGUAUGGAAUGGAAAUCAGUUGUAAUUGCAGUUGUACGCAUAUUAAAUCCAACAUUUAUAAUACAUGUAAACCAUGUUUAACAAAUAAUUAUGGAUUCUCUGGAUUGAAUUACGCCCAGUUGUGCUCUGUGAGUCCAUUAUUGGGAAUUUUGUAAACUUGCAAUGUCUAA
This is a long non-coding RNA of Siniperca chuatsi (mandarin fish), 3293 nucleotides long. RefSeq lists it as uncharacterized. The record is from RefSeq and is a predicted model, not a curated record. NCBI's taxonomy places the organism in Eukaryota, Metazoa, Chordata, Actinopteri, Centrarchiformes, Sinipercidae. The transcript has 3 exons.